This 253-nucleotide ribosomal RNA is filed under the name uncultured bacterium. RNAcentral's name for it is "partial 16S ribosomal RNA". It matches the Rfam family "Bacterial small subunit ribosomal RNA", at positions 524 to 776 of the family's 1533-position model. The record is from RNAcentral.
UACGUAGGGGGCAAGCGUUGUCCGGAAUCAUUGGGCGUAAAGCGCGCGUAGGCGGCCCGGUAAGUCCGCUGUGAAAGUCCAGGGCUCAACCCUGGAAUGCCGGUGGAAACUGUCAGGCUCGAGUCCGGAAGAGGCGAGUGGAAUUCCUGGUGUAGCGGUGAAAUGCGCAGAUAUCAGGAGGAACACCAAUGGCGAAGGCAGCUCGCUGGGACGGUACUGACGCUGAGACGCGAAAGCGUGGGGAGCGAACAGG